GACGAACCUUGCAAACGUUAUUCGGAAUCACUGGGCUUAAAGGGUGCGUAGGCUGUGCAGUAAGUUGGGUGUGAAAUACCUCGGCUUAACCGAGGAAUUGCGCCCAAAACUACUGUGCUCGAGGAAGAUAGAGGUGAGCGGAACUUAGGGUGGAGCGGUGAAAUGCGUUGAUAUCCUAAGGAACACCGGUGGCGAAAGCGGCUCACUGGAUCUUAUCUGACGCUGAGGCACGAAAGCCAGGGUAGCAACCGGG
This 253-nucleotide ribosomal RNA is filed under the name uncultured bacterium. Its description in RNAcentral is "partial 16S ribosomal RNA". It matches the Rfam family "Bacterial small subunit ribosomal RNA", at positions 524 to 776 of the family's 1533-position model. The record is from RNAcentral.